Molecule: long non-coding RNA, 2028 nt
Organism: Lagenorhynchus albirostris (white-beaked dolphin)
Lineage: Eukaryota; Metazoa; Chordata; Mammalia; Artiodactyla; Delphinidae
Exons: 3
Source: RefSeq, a predicted model, not a curated record
ACUUAGAACUCUGAAAAGUUCUUAAUGCAUCCCUUCAAAAAUUUAAUGUAUUAUAAAACAUGGGGGAGCGGGGGCAGAGAGACAACGUUUGCUACAGCAGGUAUCAUUGCCUGGCAGCAUUUAACGAUAUCAAAAAUGCUGUUGUUGAUUACAAUUUAACUUCUUUCACGAGGUGACUCCAAUCUUAAAAUUAACAGCCCAGGAUGUCAGAGGAGAAAGAACUGCAUUUCUUCCCACCAAUACAUAUGUAUGGAGAGGACCCACAUGGGGUCGAGUGAAGAAAAAAAAUUUUUCAUAUGUCAUCAUCUGGCAAUAAAUGUCUAAGGCCAAAGGCCCUGUUAACCUUUACAAAGAUCAAGGUGUUGCUGAUAGUAAAACAAAACCCUUUAGUUGCCUUUGAGAAGGUAACAUUAGGACAUCCGUGUGCGAGAUGUUGGCUACUUAUUCCUCCAGCAGACGGCGUGCGGGCCCUGUAAAAGAAUCUCAUCAUUAUCUUUCCCUCAGCUGGUUGGGCUGUUGGUUUAUUUGCUGACGUAUAGUUGCCUUAAAAUAUUAUAUUAGUUUCAGGUGUACAACAUAGUGAUUUGAUAUUUUAAUAAAAUAAAGAGAGGAUGAAAGUUCGUUGUUAAAAACUAGGAAUUACGCCAACGUCAAUAUCAUUUAGCACUGCUUUUUUCUGACCUUUUGCAGUAUAGAUAAGGAAUACUUGGCUAAAUAUAAUUAGCAUCUUUAGAAAUGUAACAAGGUUUAAUCGUAAAAAUAUUGCUAGUGUCAAUGUAUUGGGCCUUGGGUUUUUCAGUGCAAUAUUGCCCGUUACACAUGGCCCAGAUGUCCAUCACUGGUGUCUCACCCACUGACCGUUCUCCCUGGAAAGCAUUUAAAAUGCCCCACUAAGGUCUCAACUCUUGAUAAGACAUUCUCUGUGUGUAAUGCACCGCCAUAAACUGACUUCUUAACUCUUUUCCUGUGUUGGUUUUUCUUUUUGGUUUUUGGGGGGGUUUUUUUUGUUUUGUUUUUUUUACCCACACCAUAUCCCCUCCUGUUUUCUAUAGCUAAAUUCUGAUUACUCUGAUUUCAAUUCUUCAUUCUUUUUUAUCUGCAGUCACCAGCUCUCACCACGGUAAAUUCUAUUUUGAUCUUUGCCUUUCCCUCUUACAAAACUGUGCGUGCACGUUCACAGUCCGCAGGGCCACUAGCAGAGACACGAGUAGCAGAAUUGUAAAUGAAAAUGGAGAGAAUUGGCAUAGAGGUGGACGUCCUAACUUCCUCAUCACGCCUCCACCACCAACUCUAUGUUACCACGGAAGUAAAGAUGGACAAAUGAUGCCCAAAACGGAAACCAACAAGUAAAUCCAGAGAAAAUAUAACGUGGUGUUUAUUCUCUUCCUUUUGGAUUGCUUUUCUGGGACUGUCUACUGGAAGACCUUUAUUUCUCGAAACCAGUAGCCCUCGUUGAUAAGGGAAAGCUGACUUAAAGAAGAAUACCAGCUAGUAGAGGUAGAUGGUGACAAACAGAAAUGUAAAAUCAUCAUUUUGCAGUCCCCAGUGAAAUCACUGACUCAGACAAGGAUUAUCAGUUGGUAUUAAAAUUAUUAGAUGAGGGAUGGAUGGGGAAGUGAAUUUUGUACGUGCUUUGCCCAAAUAACAUCAAAAAAGAUCACACUCAUGACAAGGACGAGAUCUUAACUGUACGACGGAGGAGGAGGGAGGCCAGAAUUGUACAAUAUGAAGAAUAACGCCAUCUUCACACUAAUUCAGCGACCAAACUUGGCAGCUCUAAUGGUGGAACAACCAGGUACUGUGCGUCCCCAAGUGGACUGCCUAUGUGUCUACACAUCACCAGGGAUGUAUUCUCAACUAAAGCAUUUAAGUUGAAUCUGUCAAGCCUUCACGUGUAACUUUCAGUUUACAAGAAAGUACGUAGAAGAAUAAAAGCUGCCACAGAGAAAUAAUCAGACAAACCCAGACGAUGAAACAUUUUACAGGACAGAUCAGUGUCAUGAAAGAAAAGACACUUCUAGAUUAAAG